RNAcentral lists this ribosomal RNA (253 nucleotides) under uncultured bacterium. Its description in RNAcentral is "partial 16S ribosomal RNA". It matches the Rfam family "Bacterial small subunit ribosomal RNA", at positions 524 to 776 of the family's 1533-position model. The record is from RNAcentral.
UACAGAGGUGGCAAGCGUUGUUCGGAAUUACUGGGCGUAAAGGGCGCGUAGGCGGCCUUCUAAGUCAGACGUGAAAUCCCCCGGCUUAACCUGGGAACUGCGUCUGAUACUGGGAGGCUCGAGUAUGGGAGAGGGAUGUAGAAUUCCAGGUGUAGCGGUGAAAUGCGUAGAUAUCUGGAGGAAUACCGGUGGCGAAGGCGGCAUCCUGGACCAUAACUGACGCUGAGGCGCGAAAGCUAGGGGAGCAAACAGG